This 705-nucleotide ribosomal RNA is filed under the name uncultured bacterium. RNAcentral describes it as "bacterial SSU rRNA". It matches the Rfam family "Bacterial small subunit ribosomal RNA", at positions 28 to 715 of the family's 1533-position model. The record is from RNAcentral.
AUUGAACGCNGGCGGCGUGCUUAACACNUGCAAGUCGAACGUGAAAGUCCUUCGGGACGAGUAAAGUGGCGCACGGGUGAGUAACGCGUGGAUAAUCUACCCUUAAGAUGGGGAUAACGGCUGGAAACGGUCGCUAAUACCGAAUACGCUCCCGAUUUUAUCGUUGGGGGGAAAGAUGGCCUCUGCUUGCAAGCUAUCGCUUAAGGAUGAGUCCGCGUCCCAUUAGCUAGUUGGCGGGGUAACGGCCCACCAAGGCGACGAUGGGUAGCCGGUCUGAGAGGAUGACCGGCCACACUGGAACUGGAACACGGUCCAGACUCCUACGGGAGGCAGCAGUGGGGAAUAUUGCGCAAUGGGCGAAAGCCUGACGCAGCGACGCCGCGUGAGGGAUGAAGGUUCUCGGAUCGUAAACCUCUGUCAGGGGGGAAGAAACCCCCUCGUGUGAAUAAUGCGAGGGCUUGACGGUACCCCCAAAGGAAGCACCGGCUAACUCCGUGCCAGCAGCCGCGGUAAUACGGAGGGUGCAAGCGUUAAUCGGAAUCACUGGGCGUAAAGCGCACGUAGGCGGCUUGGUAAGUCAGGGGUGAAAUCCCACAGCCCAACUGUGGAACUGCCUUUGAUACUGCCAGGCUUGAGUACCGGAGAGGGUGGCGGAAUUCCAGGUGUAGGAGUGAAAUCCGUAGAUAUCUGGAGGAACACCGGUGG